UAAGAGUUUGAUCAUGGCUCAGGACGAACGCUGGCGGCGUGCCUAAUACAUGCAAGUCGAGCGGGGUUGAUUAGAAGCUUGCUUCUAAUCAAUCUAGCGGCGGACGGGUGAGUAACACGUAGGCAACCUGCCCACAAGACAGGGAUAACUACCGGAAACGGUAGCUAAUACCCGAUACAUCCUUUUCCUGCAUGGGAGAAGGAGGAAAGGCGGAGCAAUCUGUCACUUGUGGAUGGGCCUGCGGCGCAUUAGCUAGUUGGUGGGGUAAAGGCCUACCAAGGCGACGAUGCGUAGCCGACCUGAGAGGGUGAUCGGCCACACUGGGACUGAGACACGGCCCAGACUCCUACGGGAGGCAGCAGUAGGGAAUCUUCCGCAAUGGGCGAAAGCCUGACGGAGCAACGCCGCGUGAGUGAUGAAGGUUUUCGGAUCGUAAAGCUCUGUUGCCAGGGAAGAACGCUUGAGAGAGUAACUGCUCUUGAGGUGACGGUACCUGAGAA
This 500-nucleotide ribosomal RNA is filed under the name Paenibacillus polymyxa. RNAcentral describes it as "bacterial SSU rRNA". It matches the Rfam family "Bacterial small subunit ribosomal RNA", at positions 1 to 485 of the family's 1533-position model. The record is from RNAcentral. Lineage: Bacteria; Bacillati; Bacillota; Bacilli; Caryophanales; Paenibacillaceae.